GAAAACCCGCCAGUGUCUUCGUCCUCCGUUGUUGCGUUUGGCAUCGUCCCAAUCCUGACCUGAUUCGCCUUGUCUUCCUGCUUUGUUGUUUGUCGCGGCCUCAAAAGUUUCGAGAUUGCUGCU
Molecule: non-coding RNA, 123 nt
Filed under: Astrosyne radiata
Lineage: Eukaryota; Bacillariophyta; Fragilariophyceae; Cyclophorales; Cyclophoraceae
Source: RNAcentral